RNAcentral lists this ribosomal RNA (301 nucleotides) under uncultured bacterium. Its description in RNAcentral is "partial 16S ribosomal RNA". It matches the Rfam family "Bacterial small subunit ribosomal RNA", at positions 509 to 808 of the family's 1533-position model. The record is from RNAcentral.
CAGCCGCCACGGGUAAUACAGAGGGUGCAAGCGUUAAUCGGAAUUACUGGGCGUAAAGCGCGCGUAGGUGGUUUGUUAAGUUGGAUGUGAAAGCCCCGGGCUCAACCUGGGAACUGCAUCCAAAACUGGCAAGCUAGAGUACGGUAGAGGGUGGUGGAAUUUCCUGUGUAGCGGUGAAAUGCGUAGAUAUAGGAAGGAACACCAGUGGCGAAGGCGACCACCUGGACUGAUACUGACACUGAGGUGCGAAAGCGUGGGGAGCAAACAGGAUUAGAUACCCCUGUAGUCCCUGUCUCUUAUA